CCGGCGACCGGCGCACGGGUGAGUAACACGUAUGCAACCUGCCCUCCGCAGGGGGAUAACCCGGAGAAAUCCGGACUAAUACCGCGUGGUACACCAGUGGGGCAUCCCACUGGUGUUAAAAGGAAGUGAUUCCGGCGGAGGAUGGGCAUGCGGCGCAUUAGCUUGUUGGCGGGGUAACGGCCCACCAAGGCGACGAUACAUAGGGGGACUGAGAGGUUAACCCCCCACAUUGGUACUGAGACACGGACCAAACUCCUACGGGAGGCAGCAG
RNAcentral lists this ribosomal RNA (271 nucleotides) under uncultured bacterium. RNAcentral describes it as "partial 16S ribosomal RNA". It matches the Rfam family "Bacterial small subunit ribosomal RNA", at positions 88 to 354 of the family's 1533-position model. The record is from RNAcentral.